AGAGUUUGAUCCUGGCUCAGAACGAACGUUGAUGGCGUGCCUCAUACAUGCAAGUCGAGCGGGUAGCAAUACCAGCGGCGGACGGGUGAGUAACACGUAAAGAAUCUGCCCUAAAGUGGGGAAUAACUAUCCCAACGGAUAGCUAAUACCGCAUACAGAUGGAGAAGGCAUCUUCUCUUCUCAAAAGGCUUCGGCCGCGUCUCAGGAUAGAGCUUUGCGGUCCCAUUAAAGCUAGGUUUGGCGGUGUAAAGCGGACCCAGCCCAGAGGCGACGAUGGGGUAUUCCGGCCUGAAGAAGGGUUGUUACGGACACAUUGGGAAUCUGAGGAUACGGUCCCAGACUCCUACGGGGAGGGCAGCCAGUAGGGAAAUUUUGCGCAAUGGGGGAAACCCUGACGCAGCAACGCCAUGUGUGGGAUGAAGCAUUUCGGUGUGUAAACCACUGUCAGCAGGGAAUAAAUGGCCUGAAUAGGUCGCUGAAUGUACCCUGCAAAGGAAGCCCCGGUCUAACUUUCGUGCCAGCAGCCGCGGUAAUACGAGGGGGGGCCAAAAUGUUGUUCGGAAUCACUGGGGCGUAAAGGGGAGCGGUAGGCAGGGGCCUUUUCAAGUUUAGGGUGUUUAAUUCCCCGGGGCCCAACCCCCGGAACCGGCCACUUUAAAAACUUGGGAGUCUUUGAAUAGUGGCAGAGGUCCAGUUGGCAAUUGGGGGGUGUAGCGGUGGAAUGCGUUAGAGAUCCCCAAGAACACCAGUUGGAAGGCGGCUGACUGGACACAUAUUGACGCUGAGGCUCGAAACAUGGGGAGCAACAGGAUUAGAUCCCUGGUAGUCCAUGCCAUAAGCGAUGAAUAUAGGUAUUGGCCCGUCAACGGUCCAGUGCCGCAGCUAACGCGUUAAGUAUUCCGCCUGGGGAGUCGGUCGCAAGACUGAAACUCAAAUGAAUUGACGG
Molecule: ribosomal RNA, 946 nt
Filed under: uncultured bacterium
Lineage: Bacteria
Description: bacterial SSU rRNA
Rfam family: Bacterial small subunit ribosomal RNA
Source: RNAcentral